Engraulis encrasicolus (European anchovy) is the source of this 1419-nucleotide long non-coding RNA. RefSeq lists it as uncharacterized. The transcript is spliced from 2 exons. Lineage: Eukaryota; Metazoa; Chordata; Actinopteri; Clupeiformes; Engraulidae. The record is from RefSeq and is a predicted model, not a curated record.
CAGGGACCAAAAGGGGGGCUUUCGUCAUGGGGCCAGACAGACAUCCUCAAGCAAAAUAGAGAGAUGCAUCCAGGCCACCCACUAGGAGGUGGAAAAUCGUACGAAGAGGUGGCUGUACCUGGCAGCAGACUGAGAUGGGGUGAGGAAGAGAAGCACAGACCAAGAACGGAAUGUCAGACAUUUGCCCCUUUUUUAUGCCCAGCACACACAGACACACACACACACACACACACACACCAGCAUAUAAACAUGCACAUAGACACAGGCGCACGUGCACACACAUACACGCACUCUCAAACAAGAUGAGUCUCUGGUGAUGUUGGCAAAUAAUCUGAAUCGAUACACACGGCAAUGAAUCCACCAUCGUGCCCCACCUACGCGAGUCCUGUCCUUCAGCAUUGACUUUCUCCCCAGGUGUGGUGUGCCUUCAUCCGAACCACAAUGGCAUCCCAAGCAGCAACAAAUACCUGCACGCAUGCAUGCUACGGUACACACACAAACACACUGGACUGUGAACUAGGUCAGACACACACACAUGCUCAAAGUAGCCAAGAUCGAAAAGGCUGCAUCGGUGGCUUGACUGCAUCCAUUUUUUGGAGGAACACCUUUGUCAAUUUUGAGGAACUUUGUUGUGGGAAGAUAUUUUAAAAUGUUGAUAGUCAGACUCUUGUAUACCCAUUCGCUUCACUUUGAUGUAUUUUGUAAUUGAGAUGAUUUAUGCCACAGUGCUGAAUUAACACAUCAUGACAAAGAUGUCGCCUUAAAAAGUAUGUUUGGUACCUGUGGGUCAAAUGUCUCAGGAGCUCCCUGACUGCAGAACGUCUCAGGAAAGGACUCAACUUUUUAUAUUGUAUGCAGGGUGCGAUUUGUCAGAAAACCAGAAAGGGGGAUGUGUUUCAGAUGUCAACAAUAUCAAUGGAGUUACAUUAAACUAUGAUUAAAAUCAUGUGGAAAAAGUGACAAUAUCAAAACCAGAAGAGGGGACAAUCCCCCUACAAACCGCACCCUGAUUGUAUGUAUUUUACAUGUUUGUCUAUAUGAUUAACACAUGUUCACAGAAGAAAAUACAAUGUACGACUGCAAGGUCUUGUGCGUUUUUCUCACCGAUAUCUUAAAGGUUUAUGCGUUACAAAAUGUUUAUUAUUUUGUUUAUUUUCUGAACUUUUUUUUUAAUAACUCAAAGGGAUAUGUUAAGAAACGUGUUUAUCAUUUGGUUUGUUUUUUUUUGGAAAAUUCCAUUUAAAACAUAUGAAGGGAUAUUUUAAGAAAGGCUGUGAGUUUAAAAAAAUGCAUUUUGAUCAUUUUGUUUUCUUUUCUGAAAAUUCUUGUUUAAAAUGUCAUACAUUUUCAAUUUCCAAAAUCUAUUGAAUGGAUGAAUGUUGUAGCCUACUAAAGAUAAUAAAUGGCCAAUUUGCAUGA